RNAcentral lists this long non-coding RNA (318 nucleotides) under Ceratitis capitata (Mediterranean fruit fly). RNAcentral's name for it is "uncharacterized LOC110118592, transcript variant X1". The record is from RNAcentral. Lineage: Eukaryota; Metazoa; Arthropoda; Insecta; Diptera; Tephritidae.
CUUUGCGUUGUGCUACGGAGCAAAUUUUACAUUCCAUUCCGAGCGAAUUGAAUUUGAAAGCACCAGCCGGAAUGGCACGUACGAAAUGGCAGGCCCGGGGCUGCAUUGAAUCCCAAAUUAGAAUGAAAGACUGCAGUGCUAAAUUUUACUCAAAACUUGACUUCCAAGGAUCACUAUGAGAAAGUCCACCUCUAAGAUAGGAAUAUCGCCAAAGAAAUUUUAUGUAUCCUUUUGUGGGAGAGUAUUUUUUGCCACAAGCUAUUACUCAUGUCUUACUGCUGAUUGUUAAUUGAUUGAUUGAUUUUUUGAACGACUUAA